UGGGGGCGUGUCCGCCUGCUUUCAGCCUUUGGCAAGUUGGUGGGAGCUAAAAUCAGUCAUCUUCCUGCGAAGGCAUGAGGAGGAAAAGAGAGGAAGUAACUGAGCGAUAAUAUGCUGUAUGAGCCUCCUGCUCUGCUGCCCAUUACCUGCGUCACCUCCACAAGCUACUGAACCUCAAGGAACCCAUCUCCUCAUCAGGAAAAAAAAUAAGCUUUAUCAGGGUCUGAACUCUGUAGGUCUUCACCACGGCUCAGGAGGAUGAGGAGCAGUGACAGGCCAAACUACGAGAAAAGACAGAGGGAAUCAAACUCAACACUGUGUCUAAACCUCCUCCACCACUGUUGAAGGGAUCCUGGCAUCAGAUGGGGAACAGCUCUAAAUCAAAAUAACCUCACUACUGUGCUUUUCUGUAAAACCAGGUAAAGAUCAGACAAGCAUGA
This is a long non-coding RNA of Homo sapiens (human), 440 nucleotides long. The record is from Ensembl. Lineage: Eukaryota; Metazoa; Chordata; Mammalia; Primates; Hominidae.